UCUUCUACUUCCACUUCACCAUCACCUCCAUCAGGUGCCGCCUCCAGCCGUGAUACAAGAAACGGCAAGGUUAAGGAGUUCGCUGACGUCUUCCCACAAGACGUGCCACCGGGAUUACCACCUAUUCGAGGGAUUGAGCAUCAAAUUGACUUAAUUCCCGGUGCAUCGCUACCCAACCGUGCACCAUACCGUACCAAUCCAGAGGAGACGAAGGAGAUUAUGCGUCAAGUACAGGAGCUGCUCGACAAAGGUUAUAUACGCGAAUCUCUUAGUCCUUGUGCUGUUCCUAUUAUACUCGUGCCUAAAAAGGAUGGUACGUCGCGUAUGUGUGUUGAUUGUAGAGGCAUUAAUAAUAUUACUAUUCGUUAUCGUCAUCCUAUUCCUAGGCUCGAUGAUAUGCUUGAUGAAUUGAGUGGCUCUACAAUAUUCUCCAAAGUUGAUUUGCGUAGUGGAUACCAUCAAAUUCGUAUGAAAUUGGGAGAUGAAUGGAAAACUGCAUUUAAAACUAAGUUUGGUUUAUAUGAGUGGUUAGUCAUGCCUUUUGGGUUAACUAAUGCACCUAGUACUUUCAUGAGACUAAUGAACGAAGUUUUACGUGCUUUCAUUGGACGAUUUGUGGUGGUCUAUUUUGAUGAUAUACUGAUUUAUAGCAAAUCUUUGGAAGAACAUUUGGAACAUUUACGUGCUGUUUUUAUUGCUUUACGUGAUGCACGUUUGUUUGGUAACCUUGGGAAGUGCACCUUUUGCACCGACCGAGUAUCUUUUCUUGGCUAUGUUGUUACUCCACAGGGAAUUGAAGUUGAUAAAGCCAAGAUUGAAGCUAUUGAGAGUUGGCCGCAGCCCAAAACGGUCACACAAGUGCGGAGUUUUCUUGGACUCGCUGGUUUCUAUAGGCGUUUUGUGAGAGAUUUUAGCACCAUUGCUGCACCUCUCAACGAGCUUACAAAGAAGGAUGUGCCUUUUGUUUGGGGUACCGCACAGGAAGAAGCCUUCACGGUAUUGAAAGAUAAGUUGACACAUGCUCCUUUACUCCAACUUCCUGAUUUUAAUAAGACUUUUGAGCUUGAAUGUGAUGCUAGUGGCAUUGGAUUAGGAGGUGUGUUAUUACAAGAUGGCAAACCUGUUGCAUACUUUUCUGAAAAAUUGAGUGGGCCUAGUCUGAAUUAUUCUACUUAUGAUAAAGAACUAUAUGCUCUUGUUCGGACUUUAGAAACAUGGCAACAUUAUUUAUGGCCCAAAGAAUUUGUUAUACAUUCUGAUCAUGAAUCUUUGAAACAUAUUAAAAGUCAAGCUAAACUGAAUCGUAGACAUGCUAAAUGGGUUGAAUUCAUUGAAACUUUCCCUUAUGUCAUUAGACACAAGAAGGGUAAAGAAAAUGUUAUUGCUGAUGCAUUGUCUCGUCGCUAUACUAUGCUUUCACAACUUGACUUCAAAAUAUUUGGUUUGGAGACCAUCAAAGAUCAAUAUGUGCAUGAUGCUGAUUUUAAAGAUGUAUUGCAGAAUUGUAAAGAAGGAAGAACCUGGAACAAGUUUGUCGUUAAUGAUGGAUUUGUGUUCCGUGCUAACAAGCUAUGCAUUCCAGCUAGCUCUCUUCGUAUUUUGUUGUUGCGGGAGGCGCAUGGAGGAGGAUUAAUGGGACACUUUGGCGUGAAGAAGACGGAGGACGUACUUGCUACACAUUUCUUUUGGCCAAAGAUGAGACGGGAUGUUGAGCGUUUUGUUGCUCGCUGCACUACAUGUCAAAAAGCUAAGUCACGACUCAAUCCUCAUGGUUUAUAUAUGCCUUUGCCUGUACCUAGUGUUCCUUGGGAGGAUAUAUCUAUGGACUUUGUUUUAGGUUUACCUCGAACAAAGAAGGGGAGGGAUAGCAUAUUUGUUGUCGUGGAUAGAUUCUCGAAAAUGGCGCACUUUAUACCAUGUCAUAAAAGCGAUGAUGCUGUUAAUGUUGCUGAUUUGUUCUUUCGUGAAAUUAUUCGCUUGCAUGGUGUGCCAAAUACUAUUGUUUCAGAUCGUGAUACUAAAUUUCUUAGCCACUUUUGGAGAUGUUUAUGGGCUAAGUUGGGGACCAAACUGCUUUUUAGUACUACUUGUCACCCCCAAACUGAUGGACAAACUGAAGUAGUCAAUAGAACAUUGUCUACUAUGCUUAGGGCUGUUUUGAAGAAUAAUAAGAAAAUGUGGGAAGAAUGCUUGCCUCAUAUUGAGUUUGCUUAUAAUCGUUCAUUGCAUUCUACUACUAAGAUGUGCCCUUUUGAAAUUGUGUAUGGUUUCCUACCUCGUGCACCUAUUGAUUUGUUGCCUCUUCCAUCUUCGGAGAAGGUUAAUUUUGAUGCUAAACAACGUGCUGAAUUGAUCUUAAAAAUGCAUGAGUUAACUAAGGAAAACAUUGAACGUAUGAAUGCUAAAUAUAAACUUGCUGGAGAUAAGGGUAGAAAACAUGUUGUGUUUGCACCUGGAGAUCUUGUUUGGUUACAUUUGCGUAAGGAUAGAUUUCCUGAUUUGCGCAAAUCAAAGCUAAUGCCACGUGCUGAUGGUCCUUUUAAGGUGUUAGAGAAAAUAAAUGAUAAUGCAUAUAAACUUGAGCUGCCUGCAGAUUUUGGGGUUAGUCCCACUUUUAAUAUUGCAGAUUUGAAGCCUUAUUUGGGUGAGGAAGAU
Molecule: ribosomal RNA, 2655 nt
Filed under: Triticum aestivum (bread wheat)
Lineage: Eukaryota; Viridiplantae; Streptophyta; Magnoliopsida; Poales; Poaceae
Description: partial small subunit ribosomal RNA
Source: RNAcentral